CAGUCCCAGAGGAAAGGCCUGUCCUCCAAGCCAAUGUGCAGCCUGACUCUGGGGCCAGCGCCUGAGGAAGCCCUCCCUGAGCCCCAGCCCUGGGGAAGGCUGAAGAGGCCUCUGAGCUCCCAGCGCUGGGGAGCGCUGUGCAGAAUAGGACUGGAGGCAGUUUGGGGUUUCAGCAGGUGGCCCGGUGCUGAGACACAAGGGAGUUGUUUCUGGUCUGCAGACACUGAGGACACUUGCUAUGUGGCGUGGUGGAUGGUGGCUUCCAAUUGUGGACAAGAUAAGGACCAUUGCCCAGGCUGUCUAUGGAGCCAAAGAUAUCGAACUCUGUCCUGAGGCACAAGUCAAAAUAGAUCGUUACACUCAGCAGGGUUUUGGAAAUUUGCCCAUCUGCAUGGCAAAGACCGAUCUUUCUCUGUCUCACCAACCUGACAAAAAAGGUGUGCCAAGGGACUUCAUCUUACCUAUCAGUGAUGUCC
RNAcentral lists this long non-coding RNA (476 nucleotides) under Homo sapiens (human). RNAcentral's name for it is "non-protein coding lnc-ANKRD20A4-12:4". The record is from RNAcentral. Lineage: Eukaryota; Metazoa; Chordata; Mammalia; Primates; Hominidae.